GAGCGAACGCUGGCGGCAGGCUUAACACAUGCAAGUCGAACGGGCGUAGCAAUACGUCAGUGGCAGACGGGUGAGUAACACGUGGGAACGUACCUUUUGGUUCGGAACAACACAGGGAAACUUGUGCUAAUACCGAAUAAGCCCUUACGGGGAAAGAUUUAUCGCCGAAAGAUCGGCCCGCGUCUGAUUAGCUAGUUGGUGAGGUAAUGGCUCACCAAGGCGACGAUCAGUAGCUGGUCUGAGAGGAUGAUCAGCCACACUGGGACUGAGACACGGCCCAGACUCCUACGGGAGGCAGCAGUGGGGAAUAUUGGACAAUGGGCGAAAGCCUGAUCCAGCCAUGCCGCGUGAGUGAUGAAGGCCCUAGGGUUGUAAAGCUCUUUUGUGCGGAAGAUAAUGACGGUACCGCAAGAAUAAGCCCCGGCUAACUUCGUGCCAGCAGCCGCGGUAAUACGAAGGGGCUAGCGUUGCUCGGAAUCACUGGGCGUAAAGGGUGCGUAGGCGG
This 505-nucleotide ribosomal RNA is filed under the name uncultured bacterium. RNAcentral describes it as "bacterial SSU rRNA". It matches the Rfam family "Bacterial small subunit ribosomal RNA", at positions 27 to 578 of the family's 1533-position model. The record is from RNAcentral.